RNAcentral lists this ribosomal RNA (253 nucleotides) under uncultured bacterium. Its description in RNAcentral is "partial 16S ribosomal RNA". It matches the Rfam family "Bacterial small subunit ribosomal RNA", at positions 524 to 776 of the family's 1533-position model. The record is from RNAcentral.
UACGGAGGGUGCGAGCGUUGUCCGGAAUCAUUGGGCGUAAAGGGCACGCAGGCGGUCUUUUAAGUUUGGAGUGACAGUUGGUGGCUUAACUGCCAAAGUGCUUCGAAAACUGACAGACUUGAGGGCUUCAGAGGGACACGGAAUUCCGGGUGGAGUGGUGAAAUGCGUAGAGAUCCGGAGGAACACCAAAGGCGAAGGCAGUGUCCUGGGGAGUACCUGACGCUCAGGUGCGAAAGCCAGGGGAGCGAACGGG